Molecule: ribosomal RNA, 439 nt
Filed under: uncultured Bacillota bacterium
Lineage: Bacteria; Bacillati; Bacillota
Description: bacterial SSU rRNA
Rfam family: Bacterial small subunit ribosomal RNA
Source: RNAcentral
GGACCCGCACAAGCAGCGGAGCAUGUGGUUUAAUUCGAAGCAACGCGAAGAACCUUACCAGGACUUGACAUCCUUCUGACAGAUCCUUAAUCGGAUCCUUCUUCGGACAGAAGAGACAGGUGGUGCAUGGUUGUCGUCAGCUCGUGUCGUGAGAUGUUGGGUUAAGUCCCGCAACGAGCGCAACCCUUGCCAUUAGUUGCCAUCAUUUAGUUGGGCACUCUAAUGGGACUGCCGGGGACAACUCGGAGGAAGGUGGGGAUGACGUCAAAUCAUCAUGCCCCUUAUGUUCUGGGCUACACACGUGCUACAAUGGCCGGCACAAUGAGACGGCAAAGUCGCGAGGCGGAGCAAAUCUAUAAAACCGGUCCCAGUUCGGACUGCAGGCUGAAACCCGCCUGCACGAAGCCGGAGUUGCUAGUAAUCGCAGAUCAGAAUGCUG